AACGCGAAGAACCUUACCAGCCCUUGACAUCCCGGUACGCGGUUUCCAGAGAUGGAUACCUUCAGUUCGGCUGGACCGGUGACAGGUGCUGCAUGGCUGUCGUCAGCUCGUGUCGUGAGAUGUUGGGUUAAGUCCCGCAACGAGCGCAACCCUCGCCCUUAGUUGCCAGCAUUAAGUUGGGCACUCUAAGGGGACUGCCGGUGAUAAGCCGAGAGGAAGGUGGGGAUGACGUCAACUCCUCAUGGCCCUUACGGGCUGGGCUACACACGUGCUACAAUGGUGGUGACAGUGGGCAGCGAGACCGCGAGGUCUAUCUAAUCUCCAAAAGCCAUCUCAGUACGGAUUGCACUCUGCAACUCGAGUGCAUGAAGU
This 372-nucleotide ribosomal RNA is filed under the name uncultured bacterium. RNAcentral describes it as "bacterial SSU rRNA". It matches the Rfam family "Bacterial small subunit ribosomal RNA", at positions 958 to 1326 of the family's 1533-position model. The record is from RNAcentral.